RNAcentral lists this transfer RNA (75 nucleotides) under bacterium. Its description in RNAcentral is "tRNA-Lys". It matches the Rfam family "tRNA". Rfam says of the family: Transfer RNA (tRNA) molecules are approximately 80 nucleotides in length. The record is from RNAcentral. RNAcentral also lists the same sequence under 2 other names.
GGGGGCGUAGCUCAGCGGUAGAGCAGCUGCCUUUUAAGCAGUUGGUCGGAGGUUCGAUCCCUCCCGCCCUCACCA